Physeter macrocephalus (sperm whale) is the source of this 803-nucleotide long non-coding RNA. RefSeq lists it as uncharacterized. Lineage: Eukaryota; Metazoa; Chordata; Mammalia; Artiodactyla; Physeteridae. The transcript has 4 exons. The record is from RefSeq and is a predicted model, not a curated record.
GAUUUUCUAUCUAUUGUUGCUUCAGUUUUGGUAACUUGUUUCCAAGUAUUUUCACCUUAAUUUCUUAUUUAGUAUUAUGUUAACACAUAAAGCAAUGUUUUUCAGAUAACUGUUCCCAGGAAAAGAAGGAGGAAGUCCUAGAAAGUGAGAAACCCAGUGGACCCAAUGCCAAGCAAGGAAAACCAGACAUGCAAAGUCAAGAGCACACCAGCACCAGCCCCGGGCUCACUGAGCCUGCCAAGAUCCCGACCCUUUUCCAGGGCCGUAGACAAAGGCAGAUAAUCUACAGGGUAACUUCCCAACAAGAUAGUUCUGUGUUGCAAGUCAUCAGUGGGCCAGAAACAUGUGUGCAAGAUGAGAUGUCUGUGGAUGCGAUGCAUGUCUUUAUUGAUGAACAUGCCUUUUAGAAGCAGAAAAAAUUUUCGGAUUUCGUUCAGUUAGCAAAAACAUGUACGAAGGUGGAACAUACCAGUUAUAAGCACCCUGCUUCCAUCCAUUCCUGCUGCCACGAUUUCUCCUGCCUCAGUGUUAGUUUUAAUUUCUGUCAGAAUUUCCAGGGCCGAAAGCCACAGCAUCUGCGUCAUCAUGUGAACUUCCUGAUUUUCUGGGUGUUAUUGUUACCUUUUAGGUUGGUUUUAUUAUCCUGAAGGAGCUGAUGAAUGUGAAGUACUUUGAAAACUGAGAUGUGUCCUGUAAAUGUCAAGUAUUGUUUUGUGGUUGCUACUUACAGGAGUAUUUGAAGUCUUCCUAAUCUUUUCUCAAGUCACGUGAUAGAGUUGAGGGUUCAGUGAGGGAAAUCCUCC